RNAcentral lists this ribosomal RNA (96 nucleotides) under Salmo salar (Atlantic salmon). Lineage: Eukaryota; Metazoa; Chordata; Actinopteri; Salmoniformes; Salmonidae. The record is from RNAcentral.
GCUUGUGGCCAUACCAUCCUGAACACGCCUGUUCAGGGUUGGGCCUGAUUGGUACCGGGACAGGAGACCACCUGGGAGUACCAGGUGCCGUAAAGA